Long non-coding RNA from Cyprinus carpio carpio, 2120 nucleotides. NCBI's taxonomy places the organism in Eukaryota, Metazoa, Chordata, Actinopteri, Cypriniformes, Cyprinidae. The record is from Ensembl.
CCCCCCCCCACAUAAGUGUAAAAUGAACUCUAAGUGGAGGAGAUGGGGUGGAGGGGGGAUGCUGAUAAACCGUCAAUGGAUAGGGGUAAGUCAGCUGUAUUUAUACCCUAGUGUUGAUUAUCUUAAGUGAGCUCCACCUGUGCUAAUUAGGCUAAGUAUCUGACGUGCUCCUCCCGAACCUUGUUAAUAAAACAUAAUUUCACGAGUUCACACUUACAUAUAAUUAGCUGAAGUAUAUAAUGCAUAUUUGAAGUGCUGUCCAGGGAAAAGCUCCGAGCUCGGGAAUGGGCCGAACCUAGAGUACCCCCUAAAAAGGCAAUAGCAAAAGGACAGCCGCCAGACUAAGGACCCCCCCACAAUAGCAUUGAGAUCUGGUGGGGGCUGAUAUUUGCAAAGUCAGCUGGUAGGCAGGCUGGAAGAGCCUACAUACUCCGGUGGGAGUGACUUAUACAUUUGGAAAGGUAGGCCCUACCGGCUGCUGGUAUCGGACUACGUGAUUUGGGGCGCCUGGUCGGGAGGGCUCGAGCCAUUGCUCAACCGGAGCACCUCACUGCAUUGGAACGGAUGAGCCCUACUGGCCGAUGAAGGAGGAGCAGCGUGAUUGGAUAGCCCGACCAGGAGGGCCCGAGUUGCCUCGACUGGAAUAGGUCACAGUGUUGGCGUACGGGCCCUACUGGCUGAUGAGCCCCUGCUAAUCAGUGGGCAACCAGGGCAGAUAACUGACCGAGAGGACCCAUGAAGCCUCCGACUGGAGAUCGAGACUCAGGACGACGGACGUGUAGGUCCUCUCAGUUGAGCAGAUAAACAGGCUUUGGGCCGCCGGUAAAGAGGACUUUAGCGACAUCCGACGGGAGAUCAAUACUCACGGCAUCAGAUGGAUAAGACCUGUUUGUGGGCAGCAAGUAAAGAAACCCAACCCGGGAGCACUCUCGCCGACAUCUGACAUGAGCACAAUACUCAACGGCAUCAGACGGGUAAGCCUCGCCGGCCGGGGAGUGGGUAAAGGAAAACUCGACUGCGUGGGCUCUCGUGGCAUCCGAUGGGAGAUCAGGACUCAGGGCAUCGAACGGGUAAGCCUCACCGACCGUAGAAAGGAAAAGGUAAGGUUUUCUACGGGAGGCUCUCGCCGACAUCCAAUGGGAGCUCAAUAGUCAAGGCAUCGAACAGAUAAGCAUCGAACGGAUAAGCCUCUCUGGACACAAGACGGAAAGGUAAAGUUGUGUUGCCAGGAGGCUCUCGCCGGCGUCUGAUGGGAGCUCAAUACUCACAGCAUCGGAUGGGUAAGCCUUUGUUGACCAUAGGAUGAAAAAAGUAAGUUGUCUAGCCGGGAGACUCUCGCCGACAUCUGACAGGAGCUCAAUACUCGCAGCGCCGAACGGGUAAGCCUCGCCGACCGUAGAAAGGAAAAAGUAAUGUUGUCUAGACAGGAGGCUCUCGCUGACGUCUGAUGGGAGGUAAAUACUCGCGACAUCAAACUGGUAAGCCUCUCCGAACAUAACACGGAAAGGUAAAGUUGAAUGGCCAGUAUUUGGUGAGACAGUGAAGGUUUUUUUUUUUUAAGUAAGGGAGUGUAGCCGGGAGGCUCUUGACGGCAUCUAGUGGGAGCUCAAUACUCACGACACGGACUGGUCAGGUUCGCCGGUAGUCGGAUGGAAAGGCCAAGAUCGCUUGACCGGGAGGGCUCUUGCAGCAUUCGACGGGAGUUCAAUACUCACUGUGCGGACGGCUAAGCAACACUGAUAGUUGAAAGAAAAACAUUCACUCGACCGGGAAAGCUCUUGCAGCACCUGCCAGGGAGUUCAAUACUAAGAACAAUUUGGGUUGUCUAAAUGGGUAAAUGCUAUGAGGAUUACUUUGUGUAACUGUUUAAAAAAUCCGAUGAGCUGCUUCCGAUAACGUGUUAGAAAAUCUUGGUGCGGUCUUUGCAUUCAAAAGUUAAGUGUACAAAAAAUUAAAUAAAUAGAAUUUCCUGUGCCAGUGUACCCAAAAUAAGUGCUAUGAAUCUGGAUGCAUAGGCAUAACUCUGAAAUCUGAGGUGAAGUCGACUUUUGCCAGCCAAGUGCUAAGACCCAUGAAAUAUAUGUCUUUUUUUUUUUCUCCCAGAAUUUCAGAAGUCAUCA